This 102-nucleotide non-coding RNA is filed under the name Alkaliphilus metalliredigens. RNAcentral's name for it is "Guanine sequence". It matches the Rfam family "Purine riboswitch aptamer". Rfam says of the family: Riboswitches are metabolite binding domains within certain messenger RNAs that serve as precision sensors for their corresponding targets. Allosteric rearrangement of mRNA structure is mediated by ligand binding, and this results in modulation of gene expression. Lineage: Bacteria; Bacillati; Bacillota; Clostridia; Peptostreptococcales; Natronincolaceae. RNAcentral also lists the same sequence under 1 other name. The record is from RNAcentral.
AUAAAAACUAAAUAUUCAUCUCGUAUAACAUUGGAAAUAAGGUCCAAAAGUUUCUACCAGACUACCGUAAACAGUCUGACUACGAGGGUUAAAUAAGCAAUA